RNAcentral lists this transfer RNA (81 nucleotides) under Perkinsela sp. CCAP 1560/4. It matches the Rfam family "tRNA". From Rfam's summary of the family: Transfer RNA (tRNA) molecules are approximately 80 nucleotides in length. Their secondary structure includes four short double-helical elements and three loops (D, anti-codon, and T loops). The record is from Rfam by way of RNAcentral. Lineage: Eukaryota; Euglenozoa; Kinetoplastea; Prokinetoplastida; Perkinselidae.
ACUGGGGUUCCCGAGUGGUCAAAGGGGGGAGACUUAAGAUCUCCUGCGUAUGCUUCGUGGGUUCAAACCCCACCUCCAGUA